UAUGUACAUAUUUUAAUUAUUAAUCAUUUUAUUAAUUUAAAUAAAAUUACAUUCAAAUCCACCUUCAAUUAAAUAUUUCAAUUUAAUAUUCAUUAAUAAAUAAAUUUAUUGUAAUCCAUUAUAUUCUUAAUUAUAAUCUGCAUCUUGAUCUGAUUUAAUUUUAUUUUAAAAUUUUUAAAUAUUAUUUUUAUUAAAAAAUAUUUUUUUAACAACGAUAUACAAAAUAAUAAAUUAAGUAAAUUUAUUCGUGGACUAUCAAUUAAUAAACAGAUUCCUCUGAAUGAACUAAAAUACCGCCAAUUUAUUUAAGUUUCAAUAAAUUAUUUACUAUUUUAGUAUUAUAUAUUUAAUUUCUUAAUAAUAGGGUAGCUAAUCCUAGUUUA
RNAcentral lists this ribosomal RNA (383 nucleotides) under Antheraea assamensis (Indian muga silkmoth). Its description in RNAcentral is "partial 12S ribosomal RNA". The record is from RNAcentral. Lineage: Eukaryota; Metazoa; Arthropoda; Insecta; Lepidoptera; Saturniidae.